UCUCCGUUGGUGAACCAGCGGAGGGAUCAUUACUGGAAUCGCAAGAUCCCACAACCCUGUGAACCUACCGAAACGUUGCCUCGGCGGGUGCCCGGCCUCUGCGCCGGGCGCUGCGCCCGCCGGCGGCCCCCUACUCUGUCUCUGCAGCGUGGCAUCUCAGAGUCCCAGAAAACAAGUCAAAACUUUCAACAACGGAUCUCUUGGCUCUAGCAUCAUGAAGAACGCAGC
RNAcentral lists this unclassified non-coding RNA (228 nucleotides) under plant metagenome. RNAcentral's name for it is "partial contains small subunit ribosomal RNA, internal transcribed spacer 1, and 5.8S ribosomal RNA". The record is from RNAcentral.